Molecule: ribosomal RNA, 520 nt
Filed under: Clonostachys byssicola
Lineage: Eukaryota; Fungi; Ascomycota; Sordariomycetes; Hypocreales; Bionectriaceae
Description: eukaryotic LSU rRNA
Rfam family: Eukaryotic large subunit ribosomal RNA
Source: RNAcentral
UUGACCUCAGAUCAGGUAGGAAUACCCGCUGAACUUAAGCAUAUCAAUAAGCGGAGGAAAAGAAACCAACAGGGAUUGCCCUAGUAACGGCGAGUGAAGCGGCAACAGCUCAAAUUUGAAAUCUGGCGCAAGCCCGAGUUGUAAUUUGUAGAGGAUGUUUCUGGCGACGUGCCUUCCGAGUUCCCUGGAACGGGACGCCAUAGAGGGUGAGAGCCCCGUACGGUUGGAUGCCUAGCCUCUGUGAAACUCCUUCGACGAGUCGAGUAGUUUGGGAAUGCUGCUCUAAAUGGGAGGUAUACGUCUUCUAAAGCUAAAUACCGGCCAGAGACCGAUAGCGCACAAGUAGAGUGAUCGAAAGAUGAAAAGCACUUUGAAAAGAGGGUUAAAAAGUACGUGAAAUUGUUGAAAGGGAAGCGUUCAUGACCAGACUUGAGCAGGUUGAUCAUCCGUGGUUCUCCGCGGUGCACUCUGCCUGCUCAGGCCAGCAUCAGUUCGCUCCGGGGGAUAAAGGCUUUGGGAA